CCCCUAGAUGUUCUGGGCCGCACGCGCGCUACACUGAACAGUUCAACAAGUCUUAACCUUGGCCGAUAGGUCUGGGUAAUCUUUGAACGCUGUUCGUGAUUGGGAUAGACCUUUGCAAUUAUGGGUCUUCAACGAGGAAUUCCUAGUAAACGCAAGUCAUCAGCUUGCAUUGAUUACGUCCCUGCCCUUUGUACACACCGCCCGUCGCACCUACCGAUGGAUAAUCCGGUGAAUUAUUCGGACCGGCACUCAACCAGGUUUCCUGGAUGAGAGCUGGAAAGUCUUGUGAACCUUAUUAUCUAGAGGAAGGAGAAGUCGUAACA
Molecule: ribosomal RNA, 323 nt
Filed under: uncultured eukaryote
Lineage: Eukaryota
Description: partial 18S ribosomal RNA
Rfam family: Eukaryotic small subunit ribosomal RNA
Source: RNAcentral